RNAcentral lists this ribosomal RNA (301 nucleotides) under uncultured bacterium. RNAcentral describes it as "partial 16S ribosomal RNA". It matches the Rfam family "Bacterial small subunit ribosomal RNA", at positions 509 to 808 of the family's 1533-position model. The record is from RNAcentral.
CAGUAGCCGCGGGAAUACGUAUGGGGCGAGCGUUGUCCGGAAUUAUUGGGCGUAAAGGGUACGUAGGCGGUUUUUUAAGUCAGAUGUGAAAGCGUGAGGCUUAACCUCAUUAAGCACUUGAAACUGGAAGACUUGAGUGAAGGAGAGGAAAGUGGAAUUCCUAGUGUAGCGGUGAAAUGCGUAGAUAUUAGGAGGAAUACCGGUGGCGAAGGCGACUUUCUGGACUUUUACUGACGCUCAGGUACGAAAGCGUGGGGAGCAAACAGGAUUAGAUACCCCUGUAGUCCCUGUCUCUUAUACA